GGCGGUGUGGCCAAGUGGCACGGCACCUGUUUCCGGCGCAGGAGAUCGAGGGUUCGAUCCCCUUCACCGUCG
This 72-nucleotide transfer RNA is filed under the name Rhodotorula toruloides. RNAcentral describes it as "tRNA-Arg (CCG) cove score=51.75". It matches the Rfam family "tRNA". Rfam says of the family: Transfer RNA (tRNA) molecules are approximately 80 nucleotides in length. Their secondary structure includes four short double-helical elements and three loops (D, anti-codon, and T loops). RNAcentral also lists the same sequence under 1 other name. The record is from RNAcentral. Lineage: Eukaryota; Fungi; Basidiomycota; Microbotryomycetes; Sporidiobolales; Sporidiobolaceae.